UGAACGCUAGCUACAGGCUUAANCAUGCAAGUCGAGGGGUCUCAACGGAGCUUGCUUCAGCGAGACGACCGGCGCACGGGUGAGUAACGCGUAUCCAACCUGCCCUUCAUAUUGGGAUAGCCUCUCGAAAAGGGGAGAUUAAUACCGAAUAACAUGAGAAAGUUGCCUGAUUUUCUCAUGAAAGCUCCGGCGAUGAAGGAUGGGGGAUGCGUUCCAUUAGGUAGUAGGCGGGGUAACGGCCCACCUAGCCUACGAUGGAUAGGGGUUCUGAGAGGAAGGUCCCCCACACUGGAACUGAGACACGGUCCAGACUCCUACGGGAGGCAGCAGUGAGGAAUAUUGGUCAAUGGUCUGACGACUGAACCAGCCAUGCCGCGUGAAGGUGACGGCCCUAUGGGUCUUAAACUUCUUUUGCAAGGGAGCAAUAAGGCGCACGUGUGCGUCGAUGAGAGUACCUUGCGAAUAAGCAUCGGCUAACUCCGUG
Molecule: ribosomal RNA, 484 nt
Filed under: uncultured bacterium
Lineage: Bacteria
Description: bacterial SSU rRNA
Rfam family: Bacterial small subunit ribosomal RNA
Source: RNAcentral